GGGAUCAUUACCGAGUUUACAACUCCCAAACCCAAUGUGAACCAUACCAAACUGUUGCCUCGGCGGGGUCACGCCCCGGGUGCGUCGCAGCCCCGGAACGGCGCCCGCCGGAGGGACCAACCAAACUCUUUUCUGUAGUCCCCUCGCGGACGUUAUUUCUUACAGCUCUGAGCAAAAAUUCAAAAUGAAUCAAAACUUUCAACAACGGAUCUCUUGGUUCUGGCAUCGAUGAAGAACGCAGCGAAAUGCGAUAAGUAAUGUGAAUUGCAGAAUUCAGUGAAUCAUCGAAUCUUUGAACGCACAUUGCGCCCGCCAGUAUUCUGGCGGGCAUGCCUGUCCGAGCGUCAUUUCAACCCUCGAACCCCCGGGGGGUCGGCGUUGGGGACCUCGGGAGCCCCUAAGACGGGAUCCCGGCCCCGAAAUACAGUGGCGGUCUCGCCGCAGCCUCUCCUGCGCAGUAGUUUGCACAACUCGCACCGGGAGCGCCGCGUCCACGUCCGUAAAACACCCAACUUCUGAAUGUUGACCUCGGAUCAGGUAGGAAUACCCGCUGAACUU
This 558-nucleotide ribosomal RNA is filed under the name Trichoderma atroviride. RNAcentral's name for it is "eukaryotic LSU rRNA". The stretch from base 194 to 347 matches the Rfam family "5.8S ribosomal RNA". The record is from RNAcentral. Lineage: Eukaryota; Fungi; Ascomycota; Sordariomycetes; Hypocreales; Hypocreaceae.